Non-coding RNA from Colletotrichum zoysiae, 97 nucleotides. Lineage: Eukaryota; Fungi; Ascomycota; Sordariomycetes; Glomerellales; Glomerellaceae. The record is from the annotation of a GenBank genome assembly.
GGGCGCUUGGUCUAGGGGUAUGAUUUUCGCUUCGCAUUCUAGGUGUUACCCGGAAGCAGCUUGUGAAAGGUCCAGGGUUCAAUUCCCUGAGCGUCCA